GCAGCCGCGGUAAUUCCAGCUCCAAUAGCGUAUAUUAAAGUUGUUGCAGUUAAAAAGCUCGUAGUUGAAUUUCGGGAUCAAAUUGUUGGUCGUGCCUCGGUACGCACUGGUAUUAUUGGUUCCUACCUUCUGAAGAACCGCGAUGUCAUUAAUUUGGUGUCGUGGGGAAUCAGGACUGUUACUUUGAAAAAAUUAGAGUGUUUAAAGCAGGCUUACGCUUGAAUACAUUAGCAUGGAAUAAUGAAAUAGGACGUUUGAUUCUAUUUUGUUGGUUUCUAGGAUUGACGUAAUGAUUAAUAGGGAUAGUUGGGGGCAUUAGUAUUCAAUUGUCAGAGGUGAAAUUCUUGGAUUUAUUGAAGACUAACUACUGCGAAAGCAUUUGCCAAGGAUGUUUUCAUUAAUCAAGAACGAAAGUUAGGGGAUCGAAGACGAUCAGAUACCGUCGUAGUCUUAACCAUAAACUAUGCCGACUAGGGAUCGGAUGAUGUUAAUUUUUUAAUGACUCAUUCGGCGCCUUACG
This 520-nucleotide unclassified non-coding RNA is filed under the name uncultured Glomeromycotina. Its description in RNAcentral is "SSU rRNA". It matches the Rfam family "Eukaryotic small subunit ribosomal RNA", at positions 570 to 1092 of the family's 1831-position model. The record is from RNAcentral. Lineage: Eukaryota; Fungi; Glomeromycota.